GAACCCGUAGCUCAGAGGUAGAGCGUGUGAUUCCAGUUAGGGACUUCCACAAGGUCAUCCGUUCAAUCCGGGUCGGGUUCA
RNAcentral lists this transfer RNA (81 nucleotides) under Neolentinus lepideus HHB14362 ss-1. It matches the Rfam family "tRNA". From Rfam's summary of the family: Transfer RNA (tRNA) molecules are approximately 80 nucleotides in length. Lineage: Eukaryota; Fungi; Basidiomycota; Agaricomycetes; Gloeophyllales; Gloeophyllaceae. The record is from Rfam by way of RNAcentral.